RNAcentral lists this ribosomal RNA (305 nucleotides) under uncultured bacterium. Its description in RNAcentral is "partial 16S ribosomal RNA". It matches the Rfam family "Bacterial small subunit ribosomal RNA", at positions 506 to 808 of the family's 1533-position model. The record is from RNAcentral.
ACAGCAGCAGCCACGGGAAUACGAAGGGUGCAAGCGUUACUCGGAAUUACUGGGCGUAAAGCGUGCGUAGGUGGUGGUUUAAGUCCGUUGUGAAAGCCCUGGGCUCAACCUGGGAAUUGCAGUGGAUACUGGGUCACUAGAGUGUGGUAGAGGAUAGUGGAAUUUCCGGUGUAGCAGUGAAAUGCGUAGAGAUCGGAAGGAACAUCUGUGGCGAAGGCGACUAUCUGGGCCAACACUGACACUGAGGCACGAAAGCGUGGGAGCAAACAGGAUUAGAUACCCGGGUAGUCCCUGUCUCUUAUACA